GCUCAUCACUACUGUAUUACCUCAUUUCUUGUGCUGGUACAGCAAGCAGCCACCAUCUUAUGUCUCAGGAGCUGCACACUCUCACUGGUUUUCCUGCCACAUCAUCUGUUAUUCAGCCUGUUUUUGAGCAUAGUCGGUAAGAGCACUAUCU
Bufo bufo (common toad) is the source of this 151-nucleotide long non-coding RNA. RefSeq lists it as uncharacterized. NCBI's taxonomy places the organism in Eukaryota, Metazoa, Chordata, Amphibia, Anura, Bufonidae. The record is from RefSeq and is a predicted model, not a curated record. The transcript is spliced from 4 exons.